Molecule: ribosomal RNA, 207 nt
Filed under: uncultured bacterium
Lineage: Bacteria
Description: partial 16S ribosomal RNA
Rfam family: Bacterial small subunit ribosomal RNA
Source: RNAcentral
UGCGUAGGUGGCGCUGUAAGUGGGGUGUGAAAUCCCGGGGCUUAACCCCGGGACUGCAUUCCAUACUGCGGUGCUUGAGGACUGGAGAGGAGACUGGAAUUUACGGUGUAGCAGUGAAAUGCGUAGAGAUCGUAAGGAAGACCAGUGGCGAAGGCGGGUCUCUGGACAGUUCCUGACACUGAGGCACGGAGGCCAGGGGAGCAAACG